This 108-nucleotide ribosomal RNA is filed under the name Periophthalmus magnuspinnatus. Lineage: Eukaryota; Metazoa; Chordata; Actinopteri; Gobiiformes; Gobiidae. The record is from RNAcentral.
AAGUGCGUCCAGACCUCCUCGUUGAAGCCUGAUCUCAGAAGAUAAGCAGGGACAGGCCUGGUUAGCACUUGGAUGGGAGACCGCUGGGAAUACAAGGUGCCACAGGGG